Long non-coding RNA from Corvus moneduloides (New Caledonian crow), 1217 nucleotides. The record is from Ensembl. Lineage: Eukaryota; Metazoa; Chordata; Aves; Passeriformes; Corvidae.
UCUCAUCUCCUUGAGCCAGGAAACUGCUUAAUGAUGCAAACUUGCAGAAAGUCACAGAAAACCCAAGAGAAAGGCUGUGCCUUCCUAACAUACUGCGAAAGGGAGUCUGCUCUAAAGGCCCAGAGCGCACUGCAUGAACAGAAGACACUGCCAGGGGUGAGUCCAGACUGAUAACUUUUUGUUUUUCCUUUUAAAUCCGAAAUGGGUUACAUAUGGUGCUCUCAUCUCAGAUUUGGAAGUAUAAAGUCUCCGUUUGUUUGGAUGAUUCACUAUUUGCAUUGUGCUAAUAAAAUCAAGACACCACCAACCCACCCAAAUGGUUUCCAUGCACAAAACUAAAAGCUUUUUACCCUUGUGGGAAGUCAGGAAAACAGUAAUCAGCUGUUUGUGGUCUGGGUUCUACCAGUCUUACCUAGCUGAGGAUGUGCUUUAGGAUUCUGACCACAACAACGAAAUGUUAGAAGUCCUCACCAUGUGCUUCCUCUCACUGUUUUUCUUCUCUGAAGCAAGUUUUGGCAGCAAGAAAUCAAGAAACAGAUCACAUUAUUGAGUUAUCACAGAAUGAAAACAUAUUCCUGAUGACAAAGUGGUUUGACUCAGUUACUUUAGUAUUCAAGCAGCUGUAGCAGAUUGGAAAGGCGGUGAGACAAGGAGAAAAGAGAGAGAGAGGUAAGACGCACAUGAGAUAAUGAGGAAAAUUAUUCACAUGAGCAAGAUCUAAGGUUCAGACAACACAAGCAAAACUAAAAAUAGAAUCAGCAUUAUGUGGGGAAGACCUGCCCUGCUGGAUGGGUUUCUAGUUAAGCCGUUACCCAGAGGAGGGGGAGACACUAUUUAGAUUCAGCCAGAGUAAGGUGGAUUGGGAACAGCGAAGUGCUCCUGUAGCUGGAAUGGGGCUAGUUUUACAAUGACCAGGAGUCAGUGAUCACUUAACUAAGACCGGGCUUCUGAGGGUUCCAGGUUGCAUCGAAACUGAGAGGAAAUCUAUCUAAAAAUGUGUCUUUAUUAGCUGGUGUUGGGUGAUUGAUUCCUGUGUUGCUUAACCUACCUUUCCACAAAUCUAAGACACAUCCCUUGCUCUGUGUUCUGAGGAGAGUGUUGAUUCUGCUCUGCCUGUUUCCAUCAUCCUGGGUCUAUUUACCUAUCUCUAAGCCACCUUGCCAGUAUGGAGAUGCCCACGCACUUGCUCAUCUACAUCUAUCUUUGCUUAAAAGGCC